Molecule: ribosomal RNA, 670 nt
Filed under: Russula aurea
Lineage: Eukaryota; Fungi; Basidiomycota; Agaricomycetes; Russulales; Russulaceae
Description: eukaryotic LSU rRNA
Rfam family: 5.8S ribosomal RNA (bases 194-347)
Source: RNAcentral
GCAUCCACGAUGAGGUACAGGGCUGUCGCUGACCUUCCAAAGGUUGUGCACGCCCAAGUGCUCUCACACAUCCAUUCUACCCCUUUGGGCAUCACCGCGUGGGGGUCCCCUGAAAAGGGGGAAGCCCGCGUUUUUUUUUCCACACAAACAUAAUUUAAAAUGUGUCUUUUUUGCGAUGAUACGCAAUCCAUACAACUUUCAACAACGGAUCUCUUGGUUCUCGCAUCCAUGAAGAACGCAACGAAAUGCGAUACGUAAUGUGAAUUGCAGAAUUCAGUGAAUCAUCCAGUUUUUGAACGCAACUUGCGCCCCUUGGCAUUCCGAGGGGCACACCCGUUUGAGUGUCGUGGAAUUCUCAAAAUUCUUUUCAUUGAAAGGAUUUUGGACUUGGAAGAUCAAUGCUCACUCUCACCUUUUUUGAAAGAGAGCUCCUCUUAAAUGAAUUAACGGGGUUUGCUUUGCUGAUCCUUGACGUGAUAAAGUGGUUCUACCUUUUGGAUUUUGGCACUGUCCCUUUAGACACCCGCUCCUAACCGUCUUGUGGACAAUGGUGGUGCUUCUGGUCAUCGCUGCCCAUGUUGGCACGAAGCUUGUUCCACAUGGAAAACCUUGACCUCAAAUCGGGUGAGACUAACCGCUGAACUUAAGCAUAUCAUAGAUCGGGAGGAAG